CUGGCCUCUUGGGGCAUGUGCACACCUGGAUUCAUUCAUCUUUAUACACUUGUGCACUUAAUGUAGGGAACUCUUAAUUGAGUCUCUAUGUCUUUCUAUAUACCCUUUCAAAAGUUUUAGAAUGUCUUAUAUCGUUUGCUGUAAAACGCAGACAUGAAAAAUACAACUUUCAACAACGGAUCUCUUGGUUCUCGCAUCGAUGAAGAACGCAGCGAAAUGCGAUAAGUAAUGUGAAUUGCAGAUUUCAGUGAAUCAUCGAAUCUUUGAACGCACCUUGCGCUCCUUGGUAUUCCGAGGAGCAUGCCUGUUUGAGUGUCAUUAAAUUCUCAACCCACUUGGAUUUUAUUAUUCAACAGUGUGGAUUGGACUUGGAGGUUCUGCUGGCCAGAGUUCAGCUCCUCUUGAAAUAUAUUAGCGAAGUUGCGCCUUGUUUUUGUGGUCGGUGUGAUAAUUUAUCAACACCCAACCCUAGAAUAGGGUUUCGCUUCUAAUCGUCUUUGGACAAUCUUUGACCUUUGACCUCAAAUCAGGUAGGACUACCCGCUGAACUUAAGCAUAUCAA
This 562-nucleotide ribosomal RNA is filed under the name Anomoloma flavissimum. RNAcentral describes it as "eukaryotic LSU rRNA". The stretch from base 165 to 318 matches the Rfam family "5.8S ribosomal RNA". Lineage: Eukaryota; Fungi; Basidiomycota; Agaricomycetes; Amylocorticiales; Amylocorticiaceae. The record is from RNAcentral.